Molecule: long non-coding RNA, 207 nt
Filed under: Mytilus galloprovincialis (Mediterranean mussel)
Lineage: Eukaryota; Metazoa; Mollusca; Bivalvia; Mytilida; Mytilidae
Source: RNAcentral
GUUGGGCAUCGUAAGUUUAGCAAGUUCUAAAGUAUAAAAACCAUUUUAUUUAAUUUAAAGAAGAUAAAGGGUUUUUGUCAAUGAGCCUGCAACCCAAGAACACUACAAAGCAAAGAAGACACCAACAAUUUGCCAGUUAAUUUUCUAAUACCGUCUUAAAAAUUUAAAUAUUUUAUGAAUCCUGCUUUGAACUAGUGAAACGAUAUC